RNAcentral lists this long non-coding RNA (830 nucleotides) under Monodelphis domestica (gray short-tailed opossum). Its description in RNAcentral is "lncRNA (ENSMODG00000038271.1)". The record is from RNAcentral. Lineage: Eukaryota; Metazoa; Chordata; Mammalia; Didelphimorphia; Didelphidae.
UGGGUUUGAAUCCUGGUUCUGGCAUAGAUAGUAACAUGGGUAAUCUUGGGCUACUCACUUAAUCUGAUUCCCCCCCCCCCCACUUCAUGUUUUUUAUUUAUAAAAGAAGGGUGUUGGGUUAGCUGAUCCCUGAGGUAUUUUCUACUUGUAAUAGUCUGUGAAAAUCAUGCCACCAGGAGUUUUUUGGGUUUCCCUUUGUUUGGAAUUAUUGGUGUUAUUCUCCCUUGUCCCUAGUGCAAAUAACUAGGAGAAAACUUGAAAAAGGAAUAAAUAACAUGGUAGAAAGAGGAUUGGAUUGGGAGUUGGGAGAGCAGGGACACCUCAGUUUUAGUGCAGCUGUGAGACCUUGAGAAAGCCAUUUUCCUUCUGUGGCUCUUAAUUUUCUCCUCUGUUAAAUGAGGGGAUCAUAUUAUAAAGUUCACAAAGGUCCCUUCUUUUUCUACUCUUCUGGGAUAUUUUGUGAACUCUUACUAUAGAAAUAAAUGUAUGGGAAAGUAGAAAUUAGAGAGGAAAAUUUUCAGGGAAAUCCUGGGAAGAUUUGUAUGAACAGAUGCAUGAUGAAAUAAUUAACUCAUAAAAGGAGAAAAGGACAACUCUUUGACCCAUUCUUGCCCAGAUGAUUCUCUGAUCCUCAAACCUGGGGUAGAAGAGUCUACUUUCCUGGUAAACCUUUUCCUGGAGCUCACUGACAUCUCUAGAAAGGAAGACAGGCACAAAUGACACAUUCAUGUAUUAAAGAAGCUCAGUUACAACAGUGUCAGCCUGGUUCUCAUCUUCAAAAGGCACUGACUUCUGGAAUAAAGCAUGAGGAGGGCACCCAGAACUAUUGA